UACGUAGGGGGCUAGCGUUGUCCGGAAUCAUUGGGCGUAAAGAGCGUGUAGGCGGUUCGGUAAGUCCGCUGUGAAAGUCCAGGGCUCAACCCUGGAAUGCCGGUGGAUACUGUCGGGCUAGAGUCCGGAAGAGGCGAGUGGAAUUCCUGGUGUAGCGGUGAAAUGCGCAGAUAUCAGGAGGAACACCAAUGGCGAAGGCAGCUCGCUGGGACGGUACUGACGCUGAGGCGCGAAAGCCAGGGGAGCAAACGGG
This 253-nucleotide ribosomal RNA is filed under the name uncultured bacterium. RNAcentral describes it as "partial 16S ribosomal RNA". It matches the Rfam family "Bacterial small subunit ribosomal RNA", at positions 524 to 776 of the family's 1533-position model. The record is from RNAcentral.